RNAcentral lists this unclassified non-coding RNA (341 nucleotides) under Limosilactobacillus reuteri. Its description in RNAcentral is "Lactobacillus reuteri partial contains 16S-23S ribosomal RNA intergenic spacer and 23S ribosomal RNA". It matches the Rfam family "Bacterial large subunit ribosomal RNA", at positions 1 to 342 of the family's 2925-position model. Lineage: Bacteria; Bacillati; Bacillota; Bacilli; Lactobacillales; Lactobacillaceae. The record is from RNAcentral.
CCCGGUUUGGGGUCUUGCUUCCUCGCAGCGCAGGUGAUGCCUUGGUCUAGGAGCCGAUGAAGGACGGGACUAACACCGAUAUGCUUCGGGGAGCGGUAAGUACGCUUUGAUCCGGAGAUUUCCGAAUGGGGCAACCCAAUCAGCUUAGUCGCUGAUUACUUGACUAGUGAAUACAUAGCUAGCAAGAGGUAGACGCAGUGAACUGAAACAUCUUAGUAGCUGCAGGAAGAGAAAGAAACAUCGAUUCCCUGAGUAGCGGCGAGCGAAAAGGGAAGAGCCCAAACCAACAAGCAGGAUUUAUAUUUUUGAUUGUUUUUUGAAUUAUUUUGAUUUCAAUAGUG